CUCUACACAGGAAGUGUCCUCUCUACACAGGAAGUGUCCUCACUGCACAGGAAGUGUCCUCACUACACAGGAAGUGUCCUCUCUACACAGUGAAGUGUCCUCACUACACAGGAAGUGUCCUCGACACAGGAAGAGUCCUCACUACACAGAAAGUGUCCUCACUACACAGGAAGUGUCCUCACUACUUAAAAAAGUGUCCUCACUACAGAGGAAGUGUCCUCACUACAGAGGAAGUGUCCUCUCUACACAGGAAGUGUCCUCUCUACACAGGAAGUGUCCUCUCUACACAGGAAGUGUCCUCACUAUACAGGAAGUGUCCUCACUGCACAGGAAGUGUCCUCACUACACAGGAAGUGUCCUCACUACACAGGAAGUGUCCUCACUACACAGGAAGUGUCCUCACUACACAGGAAGUGUCCUCUACACUGGAAGUGUCCUCACUACAGAGGAAGUGUCCUCCCUACACAGGAAGUGUCCUCUCUACACAGGAAGUGUCC
Molecule: long non-coding RNA, 497 nt
Organism: Oryctolagus cuniculus (rabbit)
Lineage: Eukaryota; Metazoa; Chordata; Mammalia; Lagomorpha; Leporidae
Source: Ensembl